UGAUUAUAAAUGGGAGGAGUAGAUGGAGAAAGGUUGGCAGUCGCCUCAUCACCUGAGCUAAAAUCAUUGCUAUGCCCGUCUGAUGAAUAUAUUGAAAGUCCAUCCAUCAAACGGUUGAAAGCAUGCGUCUUUCUAAUCUUCUUUGGGGUAGAAGACUCAUCGGAUUCAGACCCACCAAGGAAUGGAUCCCUAUUGUGCUUCAUCCUCAGUGUAAAUGUGAGGUCUGGGUCACCACGCUUCAAGCCUCCCAGCU
Molecule: unclassified non-coding RNA, 253 nt
Filed under: Hevea brasiliensis (rubber tree)
Lineage: Eukaryota; Viridiplantae; Streptophyta; Magnoliopsida; Malpighiales; Euphorbiaceae
Source: RNAcentral